This 464-nucleotide ribosomal RNA is filed under the name uncultured Geobacteraceae bacterium. Its description in RNAcentral is "partial 16S ribosomal RNA". It matches the Rfam family "Bacterial small subunit ribosomal RNA", at positions 338 to 794 of the family's 1533-position model. Lineage: Bacteria; Pseudomonadati; Thermodesulfobacteriota; Desulfuromonadia; Geobacterales; Geobacteraceae. The record is from RNAcentral.
CCUACGGGCGGCAGCAGUGGGGAAUUUUGCGCAAUGGGGGCAACCCUGACGCAGCAACGCCGCGUGAGUGAUGAAGGCCUUCGGGUCGUAAAGCUCUGUCAGAGGGGAAGAAAUGCAGGUGGUGAACAACCAUUCUGUUUGACGGUACCCUCAAAGGAAGCACCGGCUAACUCCGUGCCAGCAGCCGCGGUAAUACGGAGGGUGCGAGCGUUGUUCGGAAUUAUUGGGCGUAAAGCGCGUGUAGGCGGUUUGUUAAGUCUGAUGUGAAAGCCCCGGGCUCAACCUGGGAAGUGCAUUGGAUACUGGCAGACUUGAGUACGGGAGAGGAGAGUGGAAUUCCCAGUGUAGGAGUGAAAUCCGUAGAUAUUGGGAGGAACACCGGUGGCGAAGGCGGCUCUCUGGACUAAUACUGACGCUGAGGCGCGAAAGCUAGGGGAGCAAACGGAAUUAGAUCCCCCGGUAGU